This 497-nucleotide ribosomal RNA is filed under the name uncultured bacterium. Its description in RNAcentral is "partial 16S ribosomal RNA". It matches the Rfam family "Bacterial small subunit ribosomal RNA", at positions 28 to 507 of the family's 1533-position model. The record is from RNAcentral.
GAUGAACGCUGGCGGCGUGCCUAAUACAUGCAAGUCGAGCGAACGGACGAGAAGCUUGCUUCUCUGAUGUUAGCGGCGGACGGGUGAGUAACACGUGGAUAACCUACCUAUAAGACUGGGAUAACUUCGGGAAACCGGAGCUAAUACCGGAUAAUCUUUUGAACCGCAUGGUUCAAAAGUGAAAGACGGUCUUGCUGUCACUUAUCGAUGGAUCCGCGCUGCAUUAGCUAGUUGUUAAGGUAACGGCUUACCAAGGCAACGAUGCAUAGCCGACCUGAGAGGGUGAUCGGCCACACUGGAACUGAGACACGGUCCAGACUCCUACGGGAGGCAGCAGUAGGGAAUCUUCCGCAAUGGGCGAAAGCCUGACGGAGCAACGCCGCGUGAGUGAUGAAGGUCUUCGGAUCGUAAAACUCUGUUAUUAGGGAAGAACAGAUGUGUAAGUAACUGUGCACAUCUUGACGGUACCUAAUCAGAAAGCCACGGCUAACUACGUG